GGGCCGCCCCGCCUCGCCCCGCGGCGCUUCCCUUCCGCCGCGGAGGGCCGGGCGGCGAGGCCUGCGCGGGCCGCGGCGCGGCGCGCUGGCAGCGGAAGCCGGUUCUUGUUGUUACUCCCGGGUCUCGGCCGCCGGCAGCUGGUGGCGGAGCGCCCGCGGGGCCGGGGCCGGGGCCGGGGCCGGGGCCGGGGCCGGGGCCGGGGGCAGGCAGGCGCACGGCAUCUCGGCAGCAGGUUCCGGGCUGUGGGCGGUGGCGAUGGCCCUCGGCUCGCUCCGCCUCGGCUGGCGGCCGCACCGCGAGAGCGCAUCUCGGCGGUCGGGCCGCCUUGCGAGGAAAAACCUUGAGAAGGUAUGUUCUGAAUUACGAGAGGCCUGAAAAAAGUCUACUGCAAAGAGUGACUCACUUAUUCUAAUCCUUACCACAAAAAAAAAACAAGCCAAAGGAACCGCAGUGAAGAAUCCAAGUUUUAGUUAAUUAAGUCACACUAACUCUUUUAAGUGGAAAGAUGAAUAAUGUGUUAGCAACUAUCAGGUAAAAUGAUCUAUAACUUUUGAUGGCUAUCACAGUUAAGGAUAUCUUAACAACUUCUUGAAGAAAAAUGACCUCAUUUUGCAUUAGGAUACCACCGAUAUUCAUAAAAAUAGCCAGUCCUUUAAAAUCCUUCAGCACUCUUUGCUUCAAUAUCUGAAUCUAUCUGGAAACAUUUCCGAACAUGAGGAACACAGGAUCUUCGACAAAUUAUGUAUUCAAAAAUACUAGCUUUUCAGUCAAAUGUUCAGUACUCUUUUUAUUCCUUUGGAAUGCAGGGUCAAGCUCAGACGAGCUGUACCCAGCCCCGUGUACCUCUCCUCCCCUGUUUGCACGGAAAAGCAUACAUUCUCUGAAACUGAACAUUGCCUAAUAUUUGCAUUUCAGGUGGAGCCUUGAGCUGCCAAAUGGCACAUCAAUAUUGGAGAAAGUGACACUAAUUCCAAGGCAGUAGACUCCAUGUCCAUAUUUUUUGGUGUUCUGAGAAUGCUAAAAUUCUUCUAUUUAAGGGCUGUAAUUCUCCAGAUUCAAACAGUAAACAUUUAUCCUUUCCCCAAGGUUUUAACCAGGUAUGAAUGGUACCUAGAAGUCAGGAGUUGCAAAGGAAAGAAAAAAGGUGUCCAGUUAGCCUUGCACGAUCAAACUAAACAUAAAUGAAAGCAAAUUAUACUGAUUAUUUGUUUGUAUGGUGCAAGUAUUUUAAUGUUUAGAAAUGUUUAAUGUUCUGUCAUGAUGAGUUAUGUAAGAGAAUCUUCAUUUAGCAGCUCAGAUACAAAGAGCUACCUCCCUCUGUCCUUCUUCCCCAGUGUCAAAGGCAUUAGCAGCUCUAAAUUGCCAAUAAUUUCAGAGAUUUCCUAGGGAGUUUUAACUGAAUUUGGUAUAUGGUGACUCCGACACUAGCAGAGUUAAUUCUUGUGAGAAGGGGCAUUUAUUAUAAAAGCAUUAAGAGACAGCCUUUUGUGUAGGGACUCUACAGAAUCCUAGUAAGAAACCACAAAACAGUCUUUUCAUUGUCUUUCUAGAGGUAUUGGCCAUGGAACAAUUUGGCUCAUCAAAUACACUGUGUCAUCUUGAAAGAAACAAGGAGACAAUAUUUUCUUGGAAAGCAAAUACAAAAAAUGAUAUUAAAAAAAAUUCCAGGCAUUAUUUUUUUUUCUGAA
This is a long non-coding RNA of Dromaius novaehollandiae (emu), 1689 nucleotides long. RefSeq lists it as uncharacterized. The record is from RefSeq and is a predicted model, not a curated record. NCBI's taxonomy places the organism in Eukaryota, Metazoa, Chordata, Aves, Casuariiformes, Dromaiidae. The transcript has 2 exons.